GGCCGUGAGGGAUGAUGCGCGG
RNAcentral lists this unclassified non-coding RNA (22 nucleotides) under Chlamydomonas reinhardtii. Its description in RNAcentral is "small RNA Cre_1853". Lineage: Eukaryota; Viridiplantae; Chlorophyta; Chlorophyceae; Chlamydomonadales; Chlamydomonadaceae. The record is from RNAcentral.